UAGAACUGUAUGGAGUCCAUUGAUAGGAC
This 29-nucleotide non-coding RNA is filed under the name Mus musculus (house mouse). Lineage: Eukaryota; Metazoa; Chordata; Mammalia; Rodentia; Muridae. The record is from RNAcentral.